This 662-nucleotide ribosomal RNA is filed under the name uncultured bacterium. Its description in RNAcentral is "bacterial SSU rRNA". It matches the Rfam family "Bacterial small subunit ribosomal RNA", at positions 76 to 750 of the family's 1533-position model. The record is from RNAcentral.
UUCGGAUGGAAGUUGAAUUGACUGACUGGCGGACGGGUGAGUAACGCGUGGGUAACCUGCCUUGUACUGGGGGACAACAGUUAGAAAUGACUGCUAAUACCGCAUAAGCGCACAGUAUCGCAUGAUACAGUGUGAAAAACUCCGGUGGUACAAGAUGGACCCGCGUCUGAUUAGCUAGUUGGUAAGGUAACGGCUUACCAAGGCGACGAUCAGUAGCCGACCUGAGAGGGUGACCGGCCACAUUGGGACUGAGACACGGCCCAAACUCCUACGGGAGGCAGCAGUGGGGAAUAUUGCACAAUGGGCGAAAGCCUGAUGCAGCGACGCCGCGUGAGUGAAGAAGUAUUUCGGUAUGUAAAGCUCUAUCAGCAGGGAAGAAAAUGACGGUACCUGACUAAGAAGCCCCGGCUAACUACGUGCCAGCAGCCGCGGUAAUACGUAGGGGGCAAGCGUUAUCCGGAUUUACUGGGUGUAAAGGGAGCGUAGACGGUAAAGCAAGUCUGAAGUGAAAGCCCGCGGCUCAACUGCGGGACUGCUUUGGAAACUGUUUAACUGGAGUGUCGGAGAGGUAAGUGGAAUUCCUAGUGUAGCGGUGAAAUGCGUAGAUAUUAGGAGGAACACCAGUGGCGAAGGCGACUUACUGGACGAUAACUGACGUUGAG